UACGUAGGGAGCAAGCGUUGUCCGGAAUCAUUGGGCGUAAAGCGCGCGUAGGUGGCCUCAUAAGUCCGUUGUGAAAGUCAAAGGCUCAACCUUUGAAAGCCGAUGGAUACUGUGAGACUAGAGUACGGAAGAGGCGAGUGGAAUUCCUGGUGUAGCGGUGGAAUGCGCAGAUAUCAGGAGGAACACCGAUGGCGAAGGCAGGUCACUGGGCCGCAACUGACGCUGAGGAGCGAAAGCAUGGGGAGCGAACAGG
Molecule: ribosomal RNA, 253 nt
Filed under: uncultured bacterium
Lineage: Bacteria
Description: partial 16S ribosomal RNA
Rfam family: Bacterial small subunit ribosomal RNA
Source: RNAcentral